RNAcentral lists this long non-coding RNA (1339 nucleotides) under Nicotiana tabacum (common tobacco). Its description in RNAcentral is "long non-coding RNA (NTAB_LNC009314)". The record is from RNAcentral. Lineage: Eukaryota; Viridiplantae; Streptophyta; Magnoliopsida; Solanales; Solanaceae.
UGUGGAGAAAAGCCAUGCUUUGGAAACAAGAGAAACCAUUGAAUCCCAUUUCCACACUCUCCAACUCAGCUCUCUGCUUCCUUCCUCUUCUUGCAACCCUGCAACCAAAGGUAAUUAACUCUCCUUAUCCUCAUAAUAUUUACUACUAACUCAAAUAGAUAACAUAAUUCACGUAUGUAGAUUUUUUUUUUUUUUUUUGGUGUGUGUGUGUGAAUAUAGUAUGUUUGUCUAUUUUUAAUUUGUUGUACAUUCCGAUCACCAUUUUCAUUUUAAUUUUAAAUCUUCAUCCUUGAUUUUCUUUGGUGGGUGUGGUGGCCUGAGGUUGAAUGAGUGGAAAAGGGGAGGGGAUUAUUUUGUAAUUAUCUAUUCUAUUUAACGUAACAGUUUUUCUUUUUUAGUUCAAAAAUGAUACUCAUAUCUUUUUAUAUUUAAAAGGACUUUAGUUCAGACUUUUCAUUUUAUCUUUAAUUAGACACUCUUAUAUUACAACAUGUUUAAAAUUACAAGUUUAAAUAAUACUUUAGGUACAUAUUCAAAGUUUUUCUUUAUUUUUAGUGAUGAAAUAUAUUUUACAUAAAUUAUUUUUUUUCUUUUUCGUUUUGCUUGUUUGUUACUUGGUUGUGAGAUUGGGGUUGGGGUUGUGGUGAGAAAAAGCAGGUCAACGAAUUAUUUGAUAAUUUGCUUUUCCAAAAGUUAUAAGGUGAAAGUAACGCAAUAAUCCACAUGAUUGAACAUAGCGUUUUCACUUGUUCCCUUUUGUUUUCACUAUAUAGAAGAACUUUAACAACAAACAAGAAAAAAAAAAAUGUAACCAUAAUCAUAUAUUAUAUGAUUCGAACUAAAAUUACUUUUACCCUAAGAUAUUACAUUUUAUAUGAUGGGGACCAAAGUUUUGCCAGUAUAGAUUUUUAAUGGAGCGAAUAAGUGUGAAUUUUCUAACAAAUUCACGAUAGUAUCGGAAAAAAGUACAAACUGAUUGAUAAGUUUUAAAUUAAAAUCCUUCUGAUGUAAUAACGCUUUAAAAGGAUAUUGCUUUCAUCAGCACUAAACUUUGUACCUGCAUUGCACGUUAGUUUGCAAUUAUUGAUGAUUUCAUCUUCACUAUUUGCUAGCUCCAGCCUGUCAUGCAAGUUUCUGGAAAAUUAAUAAUUGAAUAUUUUGGUAAAUAAAGUAGAAAAGAGGAAGAAAGUAAAAUAUAAUACCAUAACUCACUAAUGGUGAAGAUUAAAAUAAAAGAAGAAGAAGAAAACAAUUUGGUGAAGAUUUCUCCAAGCUACAUCCUAACAACUAGUCAAAAUGUAAUUAAUAUGUUUUAUGAUUUAUUAUGUGCAAUUAGUCA